This 1228-nucleotide ribosomal RNA is filed under the name Nyctozoilus sp. NLG-2012. Its description in RNAcentral is "partial 16S ribosomal RNA". Lineage: Eukaryota; Metazoa; Arthropoda; Insecta; Coleoptera; Tenebrionidae. The record is from RNAcentral.
AUCUUUAAAAUUAAAGAAUUUGGCGGUAUUUUAGUCUGUUCAGAGGAACCUGUUUUUUAAUCGAUAGUCCACGAUAAUUUGUACUAUAAUUUUAAAUUUGCAUAUCGUCGUUAUUAAAAAUUUUAGGAUUUAAUUUUUUCAGAUCAAGGUGUAGUUUAUGUUAUAGUUAGAAUGGGUUACAUUAAAAAUUUUUAAUAAAAUGGAUUUGGGAGUAAGCUCUAAAAUAUGCACAUAUCGCCCGUCGCUUUCACUUUAAGGUGGAAUAAGUCGUAACAAAGUAGGCUUAUUGGAAAAUGAGCCUGGAAUGCAAAUUAGAGCUUGGUAAGCAUUUUAUUUACAUUAAAAGGUUAAUUGUGAGAUUCAGUUUAAUUUGAACUUUGAAGGUUAUUGUUUUUGAUUAUUAUAUUUUUUUUGUAGAAGAAUAUUUUUUUUUAUUUUUUACUAGAAAUAAUUUUAUUAUAGUUGAAAGUACUGUAAGGUACCUUUUUGAGGUUUUUUAAAGAAAUUUUUAGUUAUUGUACCUUGUGUCUCAGGGCUUAUUUAUUAAGGUUUCCCGAAUUCAAAAGAGUUAAUUUUAAUGUGGAAUAAUUAUUUAUAAUUAUAUCUUAGUAAUGAAACGUUAUUCGUUUUUGAAUAUAUCUGGUUUUUUAAGAAAUUAAUUUAAUUUAGUGAACUUUAGUAUGUGAAUAGGGGAUAAGCUUUUGAGUUUAUUAUUAUAAUUAAUUAUUUUGGGAAAAUUUGUAGGAUUAGAAUUUUCCUUCUUUUAGAGGAUGUUAUAAUUGAUUUGUUUAAGUAUUUUAUUAAAUUUUUUUUUGUAAUUUUCAAAUUAGUAAUUAUGAUAAGAUUAGUAAGGUUAUUUUAAGGAACUCGGCAACUUAAUUUUCACCUGUUUAUUAAAAACAUGUCCUUUUGUUAAUGAUUUAAGGUCUGGCCUGCCCAAUGAUUGAAUGGCUGCAGUAUUUUGACUGUGCAAAGGUAGCAUAAUCAUUAGUUUCUUAAUUAGAAGCUGGAAUGAAUGGUUUGAUGAAAAAUUUACUGUCUCUAGAAUUUUAUUUUUAAGUGAAAAAGCUUAAAUAGUUUAGAGGGACGAGAAGACCCUAUAGAGUUUUUUUGUUGGGGUGAUGUUAAAAUUUAUUAAACUUUUAAUUUUUGUGAGUUUGUGAUCCUAGAUUAUAAGAUAAAAUUACCUUAGGGAUAACAGCGUAAUUUUUUUUGAAAGUUCUUAUUG